This 162-nucleotide ribosomal RNA is filed under the name Papaver alboroseum. RNAcentral describes it as "5.8S ribosomal RNA". It matches the Rfam family "5.8S ribosomal RNA". From Rfam's summary of the family: 5.8S ribosomal RNA (5.8S rRNA) is a component of the large subunit of the eukaryotic ribosome. It is transcribed by RNA polymerase I as part of the 45S precursor that also contains 18S and 28S rRNA. Lineage: Eukaryota; Viridiplantae; Streptophyta; Magnoliopsida; Ranunculales; Papaveraceae. The record is from RNAcentral.
AACGACUCUCGGCAACGGAUAUCUCGGCUCUCGCAUCGAUGAAGAACGUAGCGAAAUGCGAUACUUGGUGUGAAUUGCAGAAUCCCGUGAACCAUCGAGUUUUUGAACGCAAGUUGCGCYCCAAGCCUUCGGGCCGAGGGCACGCUUGCCUGGGCGUCACGC